UACGUAGGGGGCAAGCGUUAUCCGGAUUUACUGGGUGUAAAGGGAGCGUAGACGGUUAUGUAAGUCUGGAGUGAAAGCCCGGGGCUCAACCCCGGCGAGCCGUUGAAACUGGCUGUCUUGAGAUGUCGAGAGGUAUGCGGAAUGCGCAGUGUAGCGGUGAAAUGCUUAGAUAUCACGAAGAACUCCGAUUGCGAAGGCAGCUCACUGGACUGCAACUGACACUGAGGCUCGAAAGUGUGGGUAUCAAACAGG
This 252-nucleotide ribosomal RNA is filed under the name uncultured bacterium. Its description in RNAcentral is "partial 16S ribosomal RNA". It matches the Rfam family "Bacterial small subunit ribosomal RNA", at positions 524 to 776 of the family's 1533-position model. The record is from RNAcentral.